GACACGGUCCAAACUCCUACGGGAGGCAGCAGUGAGGAAUAUUGGUCAAUGGACGUAAGUCUGAACCAGCCAAGUCGCGUGAGGGAAGACUGCCCUAUGGGUUGUAAACCUCUUUUAUAAGGGAAGAAUAAGUUCUACGUGUAGAAUGAUGCCUGUACCUUAUGAAUAAGCAUCGGCUAACUCCGUGCCAGCAGCCGCGGUAAUACGGAGGAUGCGAGCGUUAUCCGGAUUUAUUGGGUUUAAAGGGUGCGUAGGCGGUUUAUUAAGUUAGUGGUUAAAUAUUUGAGCUAAACUCAAUUGUGCCAUUAAUACUGGUAAACUGGAGUACAGACGAGGUAGGCGGAAUAAGUUAAGUAGCGGUGAAAUGCAUAGAUAUAACUUAGAACUCCGAUAGCGAAGGCAGCUUACCAGACUGUAACUGACGCUGAUGCACGAGAGCGUGGGUAGCGAACAGGAUUAGAUACCCUGGUAGUCCACGCCGUAAACGAUGCUCACUGGUUCUGUGCGAUAUAUUGUACGGGAUUAAGCGAAAGUAUUAAGUGAGCCACCUGGGGAGUACGUCGGCAACGAUGAAACUCAAAGGAAUUGACGGGGGCCCGCACAAGCGGAGGAACAUGUGGUUUAAUUCGAUGAUACGCGAGGAACCUUACCUGGGUUUAAAUGGGAAAUGCCGUAUUUGGAAACAGAUAUUCUCUUCGGAGCGUUUUUCAAGGUGCUGCAUGGUUGUCGUCAGCUCGUGCCGUGAGGUGUCGGGUUAAGUCCCAUAACGAGCGCAACCCUUACCGUUAGUUGCUAGCAUGUAAUGAUGAGCACUCUAACGGGACUGCCACCGUAAGGUGAGAGGAAGGCGGGGAUGACGUCAAAUCAGCACGGCCCUUACACCCAGGGCUACACACGUGUUACAAUGGCCGGUACAGAGGGCCGCUACCAGGUGACUGGAUGCCAAUCUCAAAAGCCGGUCGUAGUUCGGAUUGGAGUCUGUAACCCGACUCCAUGAAGUUGGAUUCGCUAGUAAUCGCGCAUCAGCCAUGGCGCGGUGAAUACGUUCCCGGGCCUUGUACACACCGCCCGUCAAGCC
Molecule: ribosomal RNA, 1078 nt
Filed under: gut metagenome
Description: bacterial SSU rRNA
Rfam family: Bacterial small subunit ribosomal RNA
Source: RNAcentral